GGUCUUCUGGUGCUUACCUCAGGCUGUAUUCUUACAUUAACCAUACAGAAAGAGAAGGCAGAGCAAACCUACCCCAUAUACAUUUCAGAAUGGGAGACAAGG
Molecule: small nucleolar RNA, 102 nt
Filed under: Nannospalax galili (Upper Galilee mountains blind mole rat)
Lineage: Eukaryota; Metazoa; Chordata; Mammalia; Rodentia; Spalacidae
Description: Small nucleolar RNA SNORA51 (ENSNGAG00000004228.1)
Rfam family: Small nucleolar RNA SNORA51
About the family: ACA51 is a member of the H/ACA class of snoRNA that guide the sites of modification of uridines to pseudouridines.
Source: Rfam by way of RNAcentral